Pelobates cultripes (western spadefoot toad) is the source of this 912-nucleotide non-coding RNA. The record is from the annotation of a GenBank genome assembly. Lineage: Eukaryota; Metazoa; Chordata; Amphibia; Anura; Pelobatidae.
CUGCCGACAGUACAUAGUGUUCCAUGAUAAUAACACCAUUGUGUAUUCAGGUGCCUGUGGGAAUAGCUGCGAGAUCAAGGGAGAACUACUCAGCAAAGAGUCCCUUUCUGGAUCACUGAAAGCUGUCCUACGAGACACCACCAAUGCCAAAGGGGAAAGCACGCAGUUCUUGGAGGUGUGGGACAAGAAUUGCAAAAUAAAGAGCAUCAACCUGACCUCUCUCGAUAAGCAUGGGAAGGUGUAUGAGGAUGACCAGUUUGGAUGUCUGUCCUGGUCCCAUUCCGAAUCUCAUCUAUUGUAUAUUGCCGAAAAAAAGAGACCCAAAACAGAAAGCUUCUUCCAGAUUGAUUCUAAAAAUCUUGGCUCAGGAGUGUCUGAUGGGAAGGAAGAUGCUAUCCCAAAACCUAUCAAGGGUGAUCAGUUUGUGUUCCAUGAGGACUGGGGAGAAGGCCUGGUAAAUAAGAGUGUUCCAGUUUUGUGUGUUAUGGACAUCGAGAGUGGCAACAUUUCUGUACUGGAUGGAAUACCCGAAUAUGUGUCACCAGGACAGGCAUUCUGGUCCCCUGAUGACACUGGAGUUGUGUUUGUCGGCUGGUGGCAUUCCCCUUAUCGACUUGGCUUAAAGUAUUGCCCCAAUAGGAGAUCUGCACUGUUUUUUGUGGACCUGACUGGCGGCAAAUGUGAAACACUCUCCACGGACUUGGCUUCUGUUUUUUCACCCAGAUUGAGCCCUGACAAGUGCCGUAUAGUAUAUCUAAUGUGUGAACAAUUUGGACCUCAUCAGCAGUGCUGCAAACUGCUUAUGUAUGAUUGGUAUACAAAAGUGACCUCCACUGUGGUCAGGGACGUAUUAGCCGCGAGGCAAACAAGGCAUUUGCCUUGGGCGGCAUUUUUCAGGGGGCGGCAAAAAAC